UUACGAUCUAUUACUGCUGUGUGC
This 24-nucleotide non-coding RNA is filed under the name Arabidopsis thaliana (thale cress). The record is from RNAcentral. Lineage: Eukaryota; Viridiplantae; Streptophyta; Magnoliopsida; Brassicales; Brassicaceae.